Long non-coding RNA from Myiozetetes cayanensis, 1921 nucleotides. RefSeq lists it as uncharacterized. The transcript is spliced from 3 exons. NCBI's taxonomy places the organism in Eukaryota, Metazoa, Chordata, Aves, Passeriformes, Tyrannidae. The record is from RefSeq and is a predicted model, not a curated record.
AAUGCGCCUUAGGGCACCGUAUCGAUGAUGUGCGGAUCACGGUCUCUAACGGCGCACAGCGGGGCCAUUAUCGUGUGUUGUCACCGUGUGCCAUUAAAAGGACUUUAAUCUUCCGAUCGCCGCCGCGAUACGCGGCUCCUGCCAGGGAUCUGCUGACUAACAGGCCGGGACGCUGCGAAACCCCCCAGCCCCCGGCGUAGCCUGAAAAACACGGCCCGGCUCCCCCGUCAGUCAAUCGCGGCAACUCAAUUAAUGCAUCUGGGUCAGGAAAAUGGUUUGCGGGAGCCUGAGCCCGGUUACGAAACGCAGAGAUACCGCGGCGGGUACCGCGGGCAGCGCCCGCUGCGCCCAGGUGCAGCCAUCCCCUCGUGUGACAGAUGUGGGCUCCUGACUGACAUGUCUUCAUGUUGUGUGGUAUUUUCUGUGUGGGGUAAGAGAUUGCUCAACCUGGCCACCUGCAAGGCUCUGUCUGGCCCUUUAUGUCAUCUCUGACAGCAGCCACCGGUAGUGUUUUCCUUCCACCUGGCAUUUUGCAGUCCUCUCUGAGGCCCAGCCCAGCCUGCAGAUCUGGGCAGGAUCUUUCAUCCCACAGACCACCUUUGGGGAGGUUAUCACGCAGCAGCUGCAUAACAUACAUAAGUAGAGAAGCUACGAGGACUGCACGAGACACACAAAACCAAACUAAAUUACAUACUGUUUUUUACUAGGUUCUGAUGAGUUCAGAAGCACAGCAAGGGCCUCUGUAAUACUUAUGAAUUACUGACAUGGUAUUAUUUCUAUGCAGAAGCAGGACAAAAUAGUCACACAGUGGGUGCACUACGGAUGUGGUACCAUAUGAAAAGACUUCACCGUUUCCAUGCAGGAAUAAAAGAACCAGAUACACCUUUCUGGAACAUGUUUUGAUGCAGGAUUUGGUUUUUAGCACCUGGAUAAAAUUACUGACCUCCAGAGCAUCGCUGUAGACUGUGAAGUAGUACCAAAUAAAAUACAAAGUUCUACAUUUACUUUCUCCUGAAGAUUUUUCUGUCAAACUGGGUCAGCUUCUAAGUAAAGCAAGAGAGCAUUUUAAUCUGUCAGCACUUCAAAACUAGUCUGGUACUUGAAAAUUACUUCUGGGCUUAAAAAUGUCGUGGACUCUGAAUUUGGCAGGCAGUGUUGUUGGUGCAUGAGAUCUAAUGGUAUAUAAUUCAAAACCUGAUCUUUUCUGCUUGGCUGAGCUUGCCAUUAUUUUAGCAAAUAUUUGCUUUGGUGGGUUUUGAGGGUGAUAUGAGCAAAUGAAAGCUCCAUAAAGAUAUUUUUGCUAACACUGAAAAUGAAAAACUAAAUCAACAUCCCCCCAGUUUUUUAAUCAGUAGCAUUUGCCACCUUUAAAAAAAUACACUCUAUUAUAGGCAUGGAAGCAGAUCAUAAAACUGUUCUGCCCAGAUCUGCAGGGGAAUCAAACAGAUGGCAGAUUCCACUGCAGUUUGGAUGAAGAUUUCAUAGUUAGAUAGGCAAGAAAAUAGUAAAGUGGCUUCAAGGUCAGCAAUGAGGUGAAAAGCAGAUUUUCUUCAUCCAGGAGCAUCUACAGACUUUCUCACACAUUUAGAGGAAAUGCACCAAACUCAGAAAUUCCUUCACUACCAGGAGCAAAAUUCCUCAGUGUAAGAAGAUAUUGUACAGGGGGAGAAUUUUGUUGGUUAACUGUUUUUUUUUUAAAUUAAGAUUAAAACUAUUUUUGCCAAAUAAUUGUGCAUGACUAUUUAUGUUAGUAUGUGGUCUUUUUAAAUUCAAUUAAACCUGCAGGUGGUCAUACACCAGAUUGUAAAUAAUAUUAGUUAUGAAUUUUGACAACCAAAAGGAUUCUCAAGUAAUGGUUAUUGUUAUUCAAUUUGUUCUGGGACCAACACACAUGGAAAGCUGUUGGCAAAUGAUUCUUUUC